GGGUCAGUAGGUUGGUCGUGCCACCGGUACGUACUGGUCUCACUGAUUCCUCCUUCCUGAAGAACCGUAAUGCCAUUAAUUUGUUGUUGCGGGGAAACAGGACUGUUACUUUGAAAAAAUUAGUGUGUUUAAAGCAAGCUAACGCUUGAAUACAUUAGCAUGGAAUAAUGAAAUAGGACGAUCGAUCCUAUUUUGUUGGUUUCUAGGAUUGUCGUA
Molecule: ribosomal RNA, 216 nt
Filed under: Glomeromycotina sp.
Lineage: Eukaryota; Fungi; Glomeromycota
Description: partial small subunit ribosomal RNA
Rfam family: Eukaryotic small subunit ribosomal RNA (bases 40-216)
Source: RNAcentral